CGGGUGAGUAACACGUAUGCAACCUGCCUUUAACUGGAGCAUAGCUCCGAGAAAUCGGAAUUAAUACUCCAUAAUAUCUAUUUAUCGCAUGAUAGUUAGAUUAAAGCUUCGGCGGUUAAAGAUGGGCAUGCGGGACAUUAGUUUGUUGGUGAGGUAACGGCUCACCAAGACUACGAUGUCUAUGGGGUCUUAAAGGAUGGUCCCACACACUGGUACUGAGCCACGGACCAG
This 231-nucleotide ribosomal RNA is filed under the name uncultured bacterium. RNAcentral describes it as "partial 16S ribosomal RNA". It matches the Rfam family "Bacterial small subunit ribosomal RNA", at positions 103 to 334 of the family's 1533-position model. The record is from RNAcentral.